RNAcentral lists this unclassified non-coding RNA (180 nucleotides) under soil metagenome. RNAcentral's name for it is "partial internal transcribed spacer 1". The record is from RNAcentral.
CACAAUAAACAUAUGAAGGCUGCACCGCCAACAGGCGGCAAGGCUGGAGUAUUUUAUUACCCUUGUCUUUUUGCGCACUUGUUGUUUCCUGGGGCGGGUUCGCCCGCCUCCAGGACCACAUGAUAAACCUUUUUUUAUGCAGUUGCAAUCAGCGUCAGUACAACAAAUGUAAAUCAUUUA